This 264-nucleotide long non-coding RNA is filed under the name Salvia miltiorrhiza (redroot sage). RNAcentral describes it as "long non-coding RNA (SMIL_LNC004300)". The record is from RNAcentral. Lineage: Eukaryota; Viridiplantae; Streptophyta; Magnoliopsida; Lamiales; Lamiaceae.
UAAACUCUAGUAGUAUUCAGGCAAACUCCCAUAAGAACGAAGAACAAAACUAAAAUCCAAACAAAACAAAAUAAAACAGGAUAAAAACUCAAAUAAUAAAAAAAAAACUCUGACCCUAGGGAUGUACUAUCGUUACUCAAACACAUGCAUUCAAUCUAUUAAUUCAAUUAUCAAUUUAAUCCAACCCUGAUGAAAGAUCACUAUAUUAUUCACAAGCUUCUCUAACGAACACCUAUGAACGUAGAUUAAUUUACCACUUUUCAC